AUGUCGUAAGGGAAAAUAAUGAUAUUACCUUACUAAUAGUGUCGUCAAAAGCUGGUGCCAGAAGACUCGGUAAGACCAGAGACGCAAACGUUAAUCAUCAUAAACAGGCGUAAAGGGUUUGUAGGCUGCUUUAAAAUCUUAAUUUAAAUUAAGACCAAUUAAAGCUAGAAUCAAAUAGAGGUUAUAUUAAAUAAUACUUAGAGGAGGGAUUAAAUCCAUAGAUCCUAAGGGGAAUACUAAGGGCGAAAGCAUUUUACCACUAAUGAUUGACGCUGAGAAACGAAGGUGAGGAUAGGAAAUAGGAUUAGAUACCCCGGUACCCCUCUCUGUCAACGAUGAAUGGUAGUUCCUAGUAAAACAAAACUAGAGGCGAUGUUAACACGUUAACCAUUCCGCCUUGUGAGUACGAUUGCAAAAUUGAAAACAAAAAAAUUAGUCGGUCUCGAAGCAAACGAAGUGAAG
This 462-nucleotide ribosomal RNA is filed under the name Pseudofibroporia citrinella. RNAcentral describes it as "SSU rRNA". It matches the Rfam family "Bacterial small subunit ribosomal RNA", at positions 433 to 939 of the family's 1533-position model. The record is from RNAcentral. Lineage: Eukaryota; Fungi; Basidiomycota; Agaricomycetes; Polyporales; Fibroporiaceae.